Molecule: long non-coding RNA, 1578 nt
Organism: Bos taurus (domestic cattle)
Lineage: Eukaryota; Metazoa; Chordata; Mammalia; Artiodactyla; Bovidae
Source: Ensembl
GGUUCUAGGCUGGUACUAGUCUGGGGUCUGUUAGGAACAGGGCUGCACAGCAGGAGAUUAGUGGCAGGCGAGUAAGUCUAUGGAAAAAUUGUCUUCCAAGAUACCAGUCCCUGGUGCCAAAAUAAUUGGGGGCCACUGCCCUUUAGGGCGGUCCAAGGGCAGACCCCACCCCGAUAUCCUCUGCCUUAGCUCCUCUCUGAAGUAACUAGAUGAUAGUAUCUUAUGUAUAUUUCCAGAGUUUUUUCAGAUGCUAACAGCCACCACCAAAUGGAAGAAAUUAACUACUUGAUGAUCAGGAGCAUUUAGCCCCCAGGCCUUCUGAUGCCUAAGGAUUGCUCACGUUACUUCAGCCAAUCAGAGAACUGUGCAUGAGUGGAUUGCUUAUCAUGUAGCCCCCCUCCCUCACCAGGCCUUUCAAAAUACUUUGCUGAAACCUUCUGGGGAGUUGGGGGUUUGGGGGGCAAGAAAGAAAGUGAAGUCGCUCAGUGGUGUCCGACUCUUUGCGACCCCGUGGACUGUAGCCUACCAGGCUUCUCCAUCCAUAGGAUUCUCCAGGCAAGAAUACUGGAGUGGGUUACUGUUUCCUUCUCCAGAGGAUCUUCCUGACCCAAGGAUUGAACCCAGGUCUCCUGCAUUGGAGGCAGACACUUUAACCACUGAGCCACCAGGGAGCGACCCAUUUUCCUUGCAUGGCCUGCAGUAAGCCUUUCUCUGUUCCAAACACCAACAUUUCAGUACUGUUUGGCCUCACUGUGCCAUCAGGCACAAGGACUUGGCCUUUGGGAACAAGAGAAACAGAGGCCUGAGCCCCUUUCCAGAAGAUUUCCCAGCUGAGCUGAUUGGCUGUGGCAUUAGUCCAGGUAACCAAGUACCCUUUCCACGCAGAAGCAGCAGACCCAGAGUCAUAGCCAAGCACAAGCACAUACGUCUUUCACAGAGCACUGCGCUCUCUCAGGGCCGAGUCUCACCUUGGAGGUUGAUGAUGCUCCGAAGUCACGGGGAGCUGGAGCCCAUCUCCACCGACAGCCGUCUGGCUUUUGGAUUCCAGUCACAUUCUUCACCAGCCGAAGGGAGUGCUCAAGAGAUAUGUAGCCUCACUUGUCUGGCAUCUUAUCCAAGAAGACUUCCUUUUCUCUGGUUCCCUGUGGAAUGCAUAUUAAGCCAUUGGAGAGAGAAGAGUGGACAAAUGUGAGGGCACGAUGGUUUUUGAGUGUCGGCCUUGGCGCGGCUGUCGAGAUCGAGAGAUACUGCAGUUUGUUCAUCGCGGGAAGGGUGUUUCCCAGGAUGGUUAAAGAGAAAAUUGCACUGAUGAAAGAAUAUAUUCAGUCAAAAUAAAAUAAUUCUCUGGAAAUGAAGAUUUCUCCCGUUGACCUGCAUUGUGUGUGUGUGUGUAUUUUUAAACAAAUUUUCAACUCUUUUUUAUUUUUAUUUUUUGUAACAACUGCCAGGAAAAAAAUUUAAACCUUGACUUUGAUGUUUUGAACUUUCCGAGUAAGUUGAUGUAUGUACAUCAUGAUUAAAGACCAAACACUGGCUAAUACCUACCUGGUAAAAACCGAUGGCAAAUUAAUUAAACAG